GCUAUUUUGUCAGAUAAUAUGUACUAGGCUUAGGACCUAGUUAAAUAGAAUUUAAUUCUAUAAAUAGUA
RNAcentral lists this transfer RNA (69 nucleotides) under Caphyra tridens. RNAcentral describes it as "tRNA-Leu". The record is from RNAcentral. Lineage: Eukaryota; Metazoa; Arthropoda; Malacostraca; Decapoda; Portunidae.